This 741-nucleotide ribosomal RNA is filed under the name uncultured bacterium. Its description in RNAcentral is "bacterial SSU rRNA". It matches the Rfam family "Bacterial small subunit ribosomal RNA", at positions 8 to 796 of the family's 1533-position model. The record is from RNAcentral.
AGAGUUUGAUCCUGGCUCAGAACGAACGCUGGCGGCAGGCUUAACACAUGCAAGUCGAGCGCCUCGCAAGAGGAGCGGCAGACGGGUGAGUAACACGUGGGAAUCUACCCAUCCUUACGGAACAACUCCGGGAAACUGGAGCUAAUACCGUAUACGCCCUUCGGGGGAAAGAUUUAUCGAGGAUGGAUGAGCCCGCGUUGGAUUAGCUAGUUGGUGGGGUAAAGGCCUACCAAGGCGACGAUCCAUAGCUGGUCUGAGAGGAUGAUCAGCCACAUUGGGACUGAGACACGGCCCAAACUCCUACGGGAGGCAGCAGUGGGGAAUAUUGGACAAUGGGCGCAAGCCUGAUCCAGCCAUGCCGCGUGAGUGAUGAAGGCCCUAGGGUUGUAAAGCUCUUUCACCGGAGAAGAUAAUGACGGUAUCCGGAGAAGAAGCCCCGGCUAACUUCGUGCCAGCAGCCGCGGUAAUACGAAGGGGGCUAGCGUUGUUCGGAUUUACUGGGCGUAAAGCGCACGUAGGCGGAUCGAUCAGUCAGGGGUGAAAUCCCAGAGCUCAACUCUGGAACUGCCUUUGAUACUGUCGAUCUGGAGUAUGGAAGAGGUGAGUGGAAUUCCGAGUGUAGAGGUGAAAAUUCGUAGAUAUUCGGAGGAACACCAGUGGCGAAGGCGGCUCACUGGUCCAUUACUGACGCUGAGGUGCGAAAGCGUGGGGAGCAAACAGGAUUAGAUACCCCAGUAGUCC